UCCGGUUUGUCACCGGCAGUCUCAUUAGAGUGCCCUUGCGUAGCAACUAAUGAUAAGGGUUGCGCUCGUUGCGGGACUUAACCCAACAUCUCACGACACGAGCUGACGACGGCCAUGCAGCACCUGUGUUCUGGUUCUCUUUCAGGCACACCCGCCUUUCAGCAGGCUUCCAGACAUGUCAAGGGUAGGUAAGGUUGUUCGCGUUGCAUCGAAUUAAUCCACAUCAUCCACCGCUUGUGCGGGUCCCCGUCAAUUCCUUUGAGUUUUAGCCUUGCGGCCGUACUCCCCAGGCGGGACACUUAUUGCGUUGGCUUCGGCACGGAGGGGGUCGAUACCCCCCACACCUAGCAUCCACCGUUUAGGGCGUGGACUAC
Molecule: unclassified non-coding RNA, 374 nt
Filed under: uncultured Gammaproteobacteria bacterium
Lineage: Bacteria; Pseudomonadati; Pseudomonadota; Gammaproteobacteria
Description: contains 16S-23S intergenic spacer region
Source: RNAcentral